GACGAACGCUGGCGGCGUGCCUAAUACAUGCAAGUCGAACGCAGUGGGGACGGGUGAGUAACACGUGGCUAACCUCCCAUCAGAGGGGAUAACACUUGGCAACAGGUGCUAAACCGAUAUUGGCGGAUGUACCCGCGGUGCAUUAGCUAGUUGGUGAGGUAACGGCUCACCAAGGCCACGAUGAAUAGCCGGGCUGAGAGGGUGAGCAGCCACACUGGGACUGAGACACGGCCCAGACUCCUACGGGAGGCAGCAGUGGGGAAUCUUCGGCAAUGGACGAAAGUCUGACCGAGCAACGCCGCGGGAGUGAAGAAGGUUUUCGGGUCGUAAAGCUCUGUUGUUAGGGACGCGGUAUCUAACCAGAAAGCCACGGCUAACUACGUGCCAGCAGCCGCGGUAAUAC
RNAcentral lists this ribosomal RNA (403 nucleotides) under uncultured bacterium. RNAcentral describes it as "partial 16S ribosomal RNA". It matches the Rfam family "Bacterial small subunit ribosomal RNA", at positions 28 to 526 of the family's 1533-position model. The record is from RNAcentral.